Long non-coding RNA from Drosophila subpulchrella, 1521 nucleotides. RefSeq lists it as uncharacterized. NCBI's taxonomy places the organism in Eukaryota, Metazoa, Arthropoda, Insecta, Diptera, Drosophilidae. The transcript has 4 exons. The record is from RefSeq and is a predicted model, not a curated record.
AUUUUUUGAAUUUAUUGGAUUGCCUUGCGAAAACAUUUGUCAGGGUCUUCGGGCAGUCAAUUAAUAUUACUGAAAAUAAACACAGGAAGCGCUGCGGUAAGGGGCGAACCAAUAAAAACUGCGGAUUAACAAGAAGAGAGAAUAACGGAGACACCGAACUCUGAGAGCGCUGAUUAAAGGCAAACAACACUAGAUUAUAAGACAAAUAAAAUGAAGGGAAAUUGUUACGAACUGCUUAUUUUUCGGUGGCAGUGCUGCUAGCUCAGUCUUAUCUAAAGGCAGAGUACCCCAAAUACCACAGCUUGCAACAUAAGUAUCGACAACUCCGCUGUCUCACAUCUCUAAACUAUCGGUCAUCUCAAAAAACAAAAAUGUAAACAAAGGUAAAUACCUACAAGUAUUGACUUAAAAAUGGGUUAAAUUUUGUGGCUAUUGAUGACUUAGCCAAGCGCUCCCACCCAACCAUGGAUGCUCUUAAGAUGCGGAAGGGCACCACCCAUUCUCGGUCGGUUGCCCCCUUCUCGCGAUUACGACUGUUCCAUCUCCCCCACUGGGUAAACUCACUCACAUUGUGGGUUUUACAAAUGUUUAAUGAAUAUGCCUUUAAGACCGAAACUUGGCCGACGUCUUCAAUAUUUACGCGGUCAAAGCAGAGGAUUUGAAAAAGGCGCCGCGAAAAGUUAUGCACUUAUUUUUAGAGCUCGCAUGGAAACACGGCCCUCAAAAGGAACACACGCUAUGCGCGAGUUAUGGUAUCUUCCGCUGUUUGGUAGUGGUCCAAGGGGGUUCCAGUUAUCCGUCAGUCAGAGGACGCCAUCAGAUCUAUUGUGGGCUUUAGGGGGCAAACCCAAAGCCUCUGCGCUCCCACCCAACCGUAGCAGCCGUAGGUGACUCCGACUGCCCCUUGGACCGGUCACCGUGAGACAUCUUGGAACCGCUUACAUGUUCCCUCCCCUCUGGAAGAUAUGUCUACUCCAUAUUCAUUAUCGUAUCAUUUAUUUACUUAAAUUAUUUACAGGGCUUCAGCUUCCCGUAAGGAAACCCAUCAACCACCGCCCGCCGGGUGCGACAGUCACCAAAGGGAUUUACGUAGACUGGUCUGUUCUCUUUAUUUCGGUCCCUACCUAAAAGAGCUCUCUUAAGGGGAUCCCAGACCCGAUUAUAACCUAUUCGACGCGGUCGCUGGAGAGGAUUCCCCGUGGGAUUAACAAAUACCUGGCUUUGACGGUUUAGAUGUCAAGCCUCGCCCAGAAGGAGCGAUAAGUGCAAAUAACUAAAUAAACAAAUGUAAAAAAAAAACACUCGCCGUGAAUUAUUCACAUCCGGCAAUAAACAGUAUAAAAUUGGUGAUAUAAUAAAUAAAUAAUAGUGCAAUAUGGGUAGUAUCUAUGUGCAAUAUAUAUAUGUUAAUUUUUAAAUGUUAUAUAAGAUCCCCUCCCCCAACGAAUUUUAUGUGAAAAAAAUAUAUAAAUAAUUAAAUAAACAAAUAACUAAAUAAACUAAGGGACAACACAACAUAAA